AAGCACGAGCGAUCUUAUCCGCCAAGAGAGCAGAUCAAAAUUGCCCGCUCGAAUCUGAAACCUUAAACCUAGAGAUGGAUUUAAUCUCAAGUGGAAGUCUGUCGAUCGAUCUCCCAACCGAGUAGAUCAAAUCUAUCACAGUUGGGAAUCAUCGGUUGUUUAUGGUGCGUUGUUGAAAACUGAAUUUAGAUUCUCAGACACAAAUAAGGGGCUCGAGAGCUAAGUUAGAAUCAUUUGGUGGCUUUGCUCCGAGCAGCAAUCAAAAUCAAACGGGAAGUGAGCUGCUUCAGCUAUUGUGAUGAAGAUGAUAUGCAUAAAGCAACUGGCAAUGGAGGUGCUUACAUGAUGAAAAAUCCUGCAAUUUUGGAGUUCAAACUGAGUUGGGUUUCAUGACGCAAGAAAUGAGGGAAGUCAUCAUGCCUCCGGUAAUGCGCCCAAGGGUGGUCAAGCGGUAAAGGUCCAGCCUAUUGAAGUUCCGCUUAUACCAGUAGAGGAGCUAAAGGAAAUUACAGAUAACUUUGGGACAAAUGCCUUGAUUGGGGAAGGUUCGUAUGGAAGAGUAUAUUAUGGGGUACUUAAAAGCAGGGAGCAUACAGCAAUCAAGAAGCUAGAUGCCAGCAAACAACCUGAUGAGGUAUCUUGCACAGAUGGGACCUAUCUUGCAAAAAACUGUAUAUUCAUUACACCUCCCUCCCACAGAAAAAUAUGUUCCUCCAUUCGAGGAUCCAUGGAGGUUUUGGUGACUGCAUAUUUGAUUUUCUUGUCCACCACUGCAAAACGUGAAAUUUGUAUACCUUUAUUCUAUUACCAUUCAAAUUUUGGCUGUAAGUUCCACUAUGCUUUGGGUUUGAAAAAGAUGCAAUAGACUUUCGACCUGAGAAAUCAAACAUUCAUGACU
Molecule: long non-coding RNA, 898 nt
Organism: Rosa chinensis
Lineage: Eukaryota; Viridiplantae; Streptophyta; Magnoliopsida; Rosales; Rosaceae
Exons: 4
Source: RefSeq, a predicted model, not a curated record